This 497-nucleotide ribosomal RNA is filed under the name uncultured bacterium. RNAcentral's name for it is "partial 16S ribosomal RNA". It matches the Rfam family "Bacterial small subunit ribosomal RNA", at positions 28 to 507 of the family's 1533-position model. The record is from RNAcentral.
GAUGAACGCUGGCGGCGUGCCUAAUACAUGCAAGUCGAGCGAACGGACGAGAAGCUUGCUUCUCUGAUGUUAGCGGCGGACGGGUGAGUAACACGUGGAUAACCUACCUAUAAGACUGGGAUAACUUCGGGAAACCGGAGCUAAUACCGGAUAAUAUUUUGAACCGCAUGGUUCAGAAGUGAAAGACGGUCUUGCUGUCACUUAUAGAUGGAUCCGCGCUGCAUUAGCUAGUUGGUAAGGUAACGGCUUACCAAGGCAACGAUGCAUAGCCGACCUGAGAGGGUGAUCGGCCACACUGGAACUGAGACACGGUCCAGACUCCUACGGGAGGCAGCAGUAGGGAAUCUUCCGCAAUGGGAGAAAGCCUGACGGAGCAACGCCGCGUGAGUGAUGAAGGUCUUCGGAUCGUAAAACUCUGUUAUUAGGGAAGAACAUAUGUGUAAGUAACUGUGCACAUCUUGACGGUACCUAAUCAGAAAGCCACGGCUAACUACGUG